Elaeis guineensis (African oil palm) is the source of this 557-nucleotide long non-coding RNA. RefSeq lists it as uncharacterized. The record is from RefSeq and is a predicted model, not a curated record. NCBI's taxonomy places the organism in Eukaryota, Viridiplantae, Streptophyta, Magnoliopsida, Arecales, Arecaceae.
UGUGGCCAUUCAGAAGCUAAAGAGAAUGCAGCUUUGAAUGUGUUUUGCUGAUAGUCAUCUAAUCAUCUUCAAAUCCUCUUUCCCCCACUUUAAUUUGAAGUGCGAAGACAUGGUUAGAUGACCAUCAGCAAACGCAUUCACAAGACAUGCACAUAUCUCUUCAUUUUGAUUUAUCUAUUAUUUGCUUUAGGUAGUAUCUUUUAUGUUGAGUCUGAGUGGACUUACAAGGUUUAUUCGCAAGUACUCCAAGGUACUUUUCGCAGGUUGGAUCGUGUUCAUGUCAGGCUCAAAUCACUUGUCAAAAACUUUAAUUGACCUUGAUGUAAAUCCAUUAAGCCUCGUAGGUUUUGGUCUACUUGGGCUUAAUUUUGUGUAAGGCAUGUUUUUAUGUAGAUUAUAGCAUUGAUUAAGCUCAAAUAAGUUGAGAAAAAGUGGAACUUGAGCCCAAGUUUCAGGAUUAGAAUUAAUUUCAUGCGGAGAGUAAAGAGCAAUCAUCUCAAUGAGGUUUCGCUUGAUCACAUGCAUGCAUGGCAAAUUUUACAUAUCCAUCUUUUUUA